Molecule: long non-coding RNA, 416 nt
Organism: Phasianus colchicus (ring-necked pheasant)
Lineage: Eukaryota; Metazoa; Chordata; Aves; Galliformes; Phasianidae
Source: RefSeq, a predicted model, not a curated record
AGGGGCUCUUUCUCUUUGCUGUACCCUGGACAUUUCAGUGUUGUGAGCUUGAGCUUUCUUUAGACAGUUAGUUCAAAGAUGCUCUCACUAAAGUGUCCAUUGCCCUCUGGAAUUGCGUCCAGGAAACCUCUGCUCCCAUGGGGACCUCAGAUAUUCUACAAUGUAUGAAAUCUGGGCAUACUUUUAUAAGGCUUUGGGCUAAAUACUGGGUCUGGAAGCUAUGAGAUGUAAGGAGUUGAUCCACAACUCCUCUUCAUUCCUUCAGCUUGUCAAGUAAUUUCUGCCUGUAAUUAAGAAGAAAUGAAAAAUCCCGCUCUUCGGGAUUUGCUGAAAUUUGUGACAGCUGCUCUGAAAGUAAUGCCUUCUGUUUAAUUAUUUUUGGUCCAUGAAGUCGGAGGCGGAUGUUGGUGGGAUGG